GUGAGGAAUUUUCCGCAAUGGGCGAAAGCCUGACGGAGCAAUGCCGCGUGAAGGAUGAAGGCCUAUGGGUUGUAAACUUCUUUUCUCAGAAAAGAAUUAUGACGGUAUCUGAGGAAUAAGCAUCGGCUAACUCUGUGCCAGCAGCCGCGGUAAGACAGAGGAUGCAAGCGUUAUCCGGAAUGAUUGGGCGUAAAGCGUCUGUAGGUUGUUUAAAAAGUAUUCUGUCAAAGAUUAGGGCUUAACCCUAGAUAGGCAGAAUAAACUUUUAAGCUAGAGUGUGGUAGAGGCAGAGAGAAUUCCCGGUGGAGCGGUGAAAUGCGUAGAUAUCGGGAGGAACACCAAAGGCGAAGGCACUCUGCUGGGCCAAUACUAACACUGAGAGACGAAAGCGAGGGGAGCGAAUGGGAUUAGAAACCCCUGUAGUCC
RNAcentral lists this ribosomal RNA (426 nucleotides) under uncultured bacterium. RNAcentral's name for it is "partial 16S ribosomal RNA". It matches the Rfam family "Bacterial small subunit ribosomal RNA", at positions 354 to 796 of the family's 1533-position model. The record is from RNAcentral.